RNAcentral lists this ribosomal RNA (253 nucleotides) under uncultured bacterium. RNAcentral describes it as "partial 16S ribosomal RNA". It matches the Rfam family "Bacterial small subunit ribosomal RNA", at positions 524 to 776 of the family's 1533-position model. The record is from RNAcentral.
UACAGAGGGUGCGAGCGUUAAUCGGAAUUACUGGGCGUAAAGCGCACGUAGGCGGCUUGGUAUGUCGGGUGUGAAAUCCCCGGGCUCAACCUGGGAACUGCAUCCGAAACUGCCUUGCUCGAGUAUGGGAGAGGGAAGUGGAAUUUCCGGUGUAGCGGUGAAAUGCGUAGAUAUCGGAAGGAACAUCAGUGGCGAAGGCGGCGUUCUGGACCAAUACUGACGAUCAGGUGCGAAAGCGUGGGGAGCAAACAGG